This 253-nucleotide ribosomal RNA is filed under the name uncultured bacterium. RNAcentral describes it as "partial 16S ribosomal RNA". It matches the Rfam family "Bacterial small subunit ribosomal RNA", at positions 524 to 776 of the family's 1533-position model. The record is from RNAcentral.
GACGAACCGAGCGAACGUUGUUCGGAAUCACUGGGCUUAAAGCGUGUGUAGGCGGAUCGUUAAGUGCCUUGUGAAAUCCCAUGGCUUAACCAUGGAACUGCUCGGCAUACUGGCGGUCUUGAGCCAUCUAGGGGCUACCGGAACAAAUGGUGGAGCGGUGAAAUGCGUAGAUAUCAUUUGGAACGCCAAUGGUGAAAACAGGUAGCUGGGGAUGUGCUGACGCUGAGACACGAAAGCCAGGGGAGCGAACGGG